Molecule: ribosomal RNA, 485 nt
Filed under: uncultured bacterium
Lineage: Bacteria
Description: partial 16S ribosomal RNA
Rfam family: Bacterial small subunit ribosomal RNA
Source: RNAcentral
AUUGAACGCUGGCGGCAUGCCUUACACAUGCAAGUCGAACGGCAGCACGGGUGCUUGCACCUGGUGGCGAGUGGCGAACGGGUGAGUAAUACAUCGGAACAUGUCCUGUAGUGGGGGAUAGCCCGGCGAAAGCCGGAUUAAUACCGCAUACGAUCUACGGAUGAAAGCGGGGGACCUUCGGGCCUCGCGCUAUAGGGUUGGCCGAUGGCUGAUUAGCUAGUUGGUGGGUAAAGGCCUACCAAGGCGACGAUCAGUAGCUGGUCUGAGAGGACGACCAGCCACCUUGGGACUUAGACACGGCCCAGACUCCUACGGGAGGGAGCAGUGGGGAAUUUUGGACAAUGGGCGAAAGCCUGAUCCAGCAAUGCCGCGUGUGUGAAGAAGGCCUUCGGGUUGUAAAGCACUUUUGUCCGGAAAGAAAUCCUUGGCCCUAAUACGGUCGGGGGAUGACGGUACCGGAAGAAUAAGCACCGGCUAACUACGUG